This 288-nucleotide unclassified non-coding RNA is filed under the name Hevea brasiliensis (rubber tree). The record is from RNAcentral. Lineage: Eukaryota; Viridiplantae; Streptophyta; Magnoliopsida; Malpighiales; Euphorbiaceae.
CAAAGAAACCUAUCUUGAAAGGACUAAAACAUUUUCUCUCUUUUUCUUAUUCUUUAGAGAAAACAAACGUUCAAAAAAAAUAUACAAACAUUCUUUCACUUCACACAUAGGCCAUAGCCAUGCUGGAGGGAUGCUGAACAUGGCAUUCUUCUACGUAAAGUACUAGUCAACCCUGCAUCCUUUUUCUUGCCUCUUCUUUCUCAUGCUCUUUUAAGUGGACCGUCCAUUGGAAGAGCAAAGAGUCCUGCUCUGAAGAAGCACCAUUUGUAACGCCCUCACCAUAGGUAG